This 176-nucleotide ribosomal RNA is filed under the name uncultured bacterium. RNAcentral's name for it is "partial 16S ribosomal RNA". It matches the Rfam family "Bacterial small subunit ribosomal RNA", at positions 346 to 510 of the family's 1533-position model. The record is from RNAcentral.
AGGCAGCAGUGGGGAAUAUUGGACAAUGGGCGCAAGCCUGAUCCAGCCAUGCCGCGUGAGUGAAGAAGGCCUUCGGGUUGUAAAGCUCUUUUGUCCGGAAAGAAAAGCCUUCGGUUAAUACCCCGCGGUAUUGACGGUACCCGCCGGAAGAAUAAGCACCGGCUAACUUCGUGCCA